GUGGGUUUGUAAGUCGGGCGUGAAAUCCCUCGGCUUAACCGAGGAACUGCGUCCGAAACUGCAUGGCUUGAGGACGGAAGGGGAAGGUGGAAUUCCUGGUGGAGCGGUGAAAUGCGUAGAUAUCAGGAGGAACGCCGGUGGCGAAAGCGGCCUUCUGGUCCGUUUCUGACGCUGAGGUGCGAAAGCUAGGGGAGCAAACAGGAUUAGAUACCCUGGCAGUCCUAGCCGUAAACGAUGGGCACUAAGUAGAGGGG
This 254-nucleotide ribosomal RNA is filed under the name uncultured Planctomycetales bacterium. Its description in RNAcentral is "partial 16S ribosomal RNA". It matches the Rfam family "Bacterial small subunit ribosomal RNA", at positions 575 to 828 of the family's 1533-position model. Lineage: Bacteria; Pseudomonadati; Planctomycetota; Planctomycetia; Planctomycetales. The record is from RNAcentral.